GGGAUUCACAAUCCCAAUAAUCCCAUUCACCAAUUUACCUAUGUUUGGAUUUCACAAUUUUGUGGAAUCCAUAGUAAUUUUGAUUUACCCGGGUAUCACUUCCCUGGUAAAUGAUACCCUUCAGAGACUCGGGUAAGUUGAUUUCCCGAGUGGAGGGUAAGCACAUAAAAAUAGGAAAUCUCAAUCCCCACAAGAUAUAAAAGUUCGAGACUCUGCUUCUCUGAAAAAUCAUGUCUGUGUUUCCCUCCUUCACUUCGUUCUACUUCUCCGAAAAUCAGCUCUGCAUUUCUCCUCCACUCCUUUCUUCUUCUCUGCCAUUGAUUCUUUCAGGUAGAGAAUGCGGAGUUCUGCUUUUCUGCCAUCGCUGCUCCGUAUCUCUGGUAUCUCUGAGUUCUGCCCAUCGUUGCUACUGCUGCAUCAAGUCAUCGCAAAUGCUGAAGAGUUGUCGUCGCCGUCCUCCCUCUGUUGCCGGCACCAAUGAUCAUCCCAUUUUCUGUUGUCGCUCCGCCUGGUUGCCAUCGCUGGUCAUUCUUUCCUCCAUUUAAACAGUCAACUGUGAUACCUAGAGUUUUCAAAAUCAGAACAAAGAAACAAUUCUUGUUGUAUAAGAUCUACUCGAUGAAUCACUCUUAUUUUGUUUGAUUGCAGUACAAAUGAAGUAAAUUCGUUUCCACAAGUAAAGAAUAAUCUUGCAGCUUUGCUGGCUUUAUGUUGGUAUUGGGCUUCUGAUGGAGUGGGAUCAAAGUUUUUGGUUCUUCUGGAAAUGGGAGCUACCCUCUUCGUGGACAUUAUCAUAUGUGGAAUUGCUCCAACUCAUAUCAGCCUCAUCUUCCAAUAAAUAUGAUGUGGCCAAACUCCCCAUCAUUUGUCAAUGACAUGCAUAAUAAUCCCCUAUGCAACUGCAUGGACUUUCUAGAGCACCAUCUCAUAUGCUGAACAUAGUUCUACCAAUACAUCACCAUGUUGGAUCAGCACCAGCUGUAGAAGCUUGACGAAGAACGUGGCUAUAGUCUUCAAUUGCCUUCAUUUUGAAAAUCUAAACAAUAAACUAAAAUUGGAUCAGCACCAUGCAUAAUAAUCACCAAUGUAGAAGCUUGAUGAAGAACGUGGCUAUAGUCUUCAAUUGCAGUAAGGAUCCAACAACUAGUUAAUGCAAUAGACAAACUAGUGAACUUGGCAGGUUUCAAGCUAGCAGAAAGUGAGAAUUCCAMUCAGAGCCAACCCACCAAGGAACCUACUUCAGAAUUCCAAAAUCAUGAAGCCCUAAAGGUUCUUCAACAGGUCUAGGUUCUAAAUGGUUAACUUGGCAGGGGUCUACCAUGGGUACCAACGCAAGAGGAGAUUGUAUCUUCUGAGAGAAGAAGAAGAAAGAAGAAACAGAGAAAAAAAAUAAACCCUGAAAUCUAAGUAUUGACAAGUAWUUUAUAUGAGACCAUAAACAAAAAAAGAAUGUAUACGAAUUAUUUCUCAAUUGAUUGAUUCAGUAUAACAAAGAAAAACUUUCUUCAGUUUAUUGAUAUUU
Long non-coding RNA from Nelumbo nucifera (sacred lotus), 1522 nucleotides. RefSeq lists it as uncharacterized. NCBI's taxonomy places the organism in Eukaryota, Viridiplantae, Streptophyta, Magnoliopsida, Proteales, Nelumbonaceae. The record is from RefSeq and is a predicted model, not a curated record.